CGCCACCUUCCGCGUAGCUCUCUUGCCUCUCUCUCCUUGAUAUUCAUCUCUUUUCUCUCUCCUCAUUUUCUCUGCACACACACUCUCAGGCUCUCAGCCAUUCGACCUACUCAUGUUCUAGGGUUCUAAACUUCCAUUUCUUUUUUUCAUAAUUCACUCCAUCAACUACCAAACCAUUCUCACUCCUAACUAUCAAUUUCAAAUCGAAACUCUACAUUCUUAUUUACAAACUGCGAUGAACAAAAAUUAGGGUUUUGAACUUUCGAUUCUUCAGAAAAGAUCUGAUUUGCCCCCUUUGCUUCUUCCCACUCUCUCGAACCCGAAUCCAACACCAGAGAUGAAGAUUGUUGCCGCUUGCUUGUUGUCUUCUUUGGGCGGUAAAGCUUGCCCUACUGUUGAUGAUAUCAAGAAAAAUCUUAGAUCAGUUAAUGCAGGGGCUUCUUGGUUUCAGCUAGGCCAGUUAAUGCAGAGGCUUCUUGGUUUCAGCUAGGCGCAAAAGUAGUGGGCUCACAAAUAAUGUAAACCAGUCAAUAUGAAAACUAUACGUGAAUUUUCAAUGAUUGAAGAUCUACAUUCAUACCUUGACAGUUUGAUUAGCUUUACCAUCAAGUCUGAAUUUUGAUAUGAAGGCGUUCUCUUCAACAUCAACAUUGUUGAAGCUAGCACCGGUCUUCACAAUGGGUUCUUUUGAUAGGGUGUCAGUCGGAGCUUGAACCAGUCCAAUUUCCAAAGGCCAAUGUCCAUUACUAAAUUCUUUGAUCCGCUAUGUCACCUUCUGCGCGUGCCGCAACCCCGUGCUCUGGCAUCUGCCGCAUCCCCGUGCUCUGGCAUCUGCCGCAUCCCCGCCACACUUCUCUCCCUGCCUAACUCCCGGGAACUCAUGAAGUAUUUCAACUAAGGACGCAUUGCGAGCACAUUAAUUUGUAACAAAAUUCGCGAUGCGCUGUUCGGAGAUCAGAUUACAACGUCAAAAAGAUGCCCUCCAGCCCAAAGGGACUUAUGAAAUCACAGAUGCUCCAAUCCGAUCUGCAGACCAGCAGUGUCAAAGAAACGAAUUUGAGAUGAUAUGAGAAGAGACUAUAUAUAUGGGACGAGAGUGGAAGAAAGCUCAACCCAGAUUAGAGUAUUGGGAAAGUGGAAGGCAAGUCAUAACAAGAAUAGCAUUGCUACUGUUGAUUGUUUGCUUGGACGGAACAUUGCCUGCUUCUCAUUGGGAUCGUGGGUUUGGGUCAGGGGCCAACAAUUGGCUUAUUCAAUUAGAGCUGGAAACUCUCUUGAAAUUUUAUGUUCCGGUAUAUCGAAAUCUUACCCUCCAGUGCUUAUCUGAGAAAGUACGGUAUCCAGGUUAUAACAGACCUGCACGCAGCACCCGGGUCACAAAAUGGGAAUGAACACAGUGCAACUAGAGAUGGAUCUCUUGACUGGGGAAAAACUGAUGAAAAUGUUCAACAAAGUGUUGAUGUUAUUGACUUCUUAGCUUCACGGACUGAGCAAAGUUUGACUUCAGAACAUCUGAGGGAAAUUUUAGAAAGAAUUGAAACAGAUGGUUUCGAUACAUGUUUCCCUCUUUUGACAUGAACGAGGCCCACAAACAUGUUUCCCCAGCUUUCUUGAACUCAAAAUUUUCUCAGUCUUGCAAAGAAUUAUGAACAUAUAUAAGUAUAUAGGUUCACGUGAGAACCACCUUAAGGUGAGAACUUCUCUUAACAUGAGAACCUCAAUCUUACCAUUGAUUUACUGAAAUCUGGGCCAGUCAUUACUUUUAUGAAUUAAUCCCUAUCACCCGUGAUUUUCUAUCUGUUCCCUUCCUCUUUCUAUGUACUGAUUAAUUUUCUCUCUCAUAUUUCUCAAAUUUCACCCCCAAUUCUCAAAUUUCCCCAAUUUCUUACUAAUUUUAUAAUUUCUUUGAAGAUCUCUAUCAAAAUCAAAAAUAGUUUUUUGUUUAUGGCAAAGUGAAGAAUUGCAGUGUGCAGACUUGACAUGGUGAUCAAGCAAUUUGCAGACUUGAUAUGGUGAUCAAGAAGCGCGGGUCCUUUUUUGGUUUUUUUAUCUUCUGUUUUAUGUAGAUGUUAUAUGAAAUUGCUAAUUGUAAUAAUUUUUUUUUUAUGAAAGCUAAUUGUGUGGAUAGUAAGAUCUUGUUCGUUCUUUUGCAAUGGAAAUUAAAGCUACUUGCAGUGGAACAUUAAUGAAGUAUUUGUUGUCAUCUUAUUA
Molecule: long non-coding RNA, 2211 nt
Organism: Spinacia oleracea (spinach)
Lineage: Eukaryota; Viridiplantae; Streptophyta; Magnoliopsida; Caryophyllales; Amaranthaceae
Exons: 13
Source: RefSeq, a predicted model, not a curated record